Molecule: ribosomal RNA, 253 nt
Filed under: uncultured bacterium
Lineage: Bacteria
Description: partial 16S ribosomal RNA
Rfam family: Bacterial small subunit ribosomal RNA
Source: RNAcentral
UACGUAGGGCGCAAGCGUUGUCCGGAAUUAUUGGGCGUAAAGAGCUCGUAGGCGGCUUGUCACGUCGGGUGUGAAAGACCGGGGCUUAACCCCGGUUCUGCAUUCGAUACGGGCCGGCUAGAGUGUGGUAGGGGAGAUCGGAAUUCCUGGUGUAGCGGUGAAAUGCGCAGAUAUCAGGAGGAACACCGGUGGCGAAGGCGGAUCUCUGGGCCAUUACUGACGCUGAGGAGCGAAAGCGUGGGGAGCGAACAGG